This is a non-coding RNA of Rhodotorula diobovata, 71 nucleotides long. NCBI's taxonomy places the organism in Eukaryota, Fungi, Basidiomycota, Microbotryomycetes, Sporidiobolales, Sporidiobolaceae. The record is from the annotation of a GenBank genome assembly.
GGGGAUAUAGUAUAAUGGCAUUACGCGGUGUUUGCAUCAUUGCGACGCUGGUUCGAUUCCAGCUAUCUCCA